This 676-nucleotide long non-coding RNA is filed under the name Dromaius novaehollandiae (emu). Its description in RNAcentral is "lncRNA (ENSDNVG00000017965.1)". The record is from RNAcentral. Lineage: Eukaryota; Metazoa; Chordata; Aves; Casuariiformes; Dromaiidae.
UCCUGCCUCGUGCUAAGCGCCUCUUCUCUCUUUGGGUUUGCAGGUGAUGAAAUGUUCUCCUCUUCAGUAUAUGCAGAAGAGACUGGAGCUUAGCUCCUAUCUUCAUAACAGUAAAACUACAGUGAAAUCUGAAUUCUUUGUUCAUGUUUCACUGCCUACUUUGAGGAAAACAGUGAUCAUGAGAUCAGACGUCAGCCUCAGGGAGGAUAAGCUUCAAAAGGAAAAGGCUUCUGCAGCUGAGGACAGUCUGUUACUUUGGAAACUCUCUGGGCUGUGGCCUCACAUGAUGGAAAGAUUCGGCAGAGUCAACUGAAAUGUGCWGGCAUAUCAGAAGGGAAGGACUACUUUGCAUUCAGGAAGUUGCUCGUUUUGUGAUUAGCAUCACCAUGGCCCCGGAGGGAAGGGAUGGCACUGUCUGGAUAGAUUUCAGAUCUGCUGAGGGAACUUGCACCUGAUACUCACUCAGCCUGAGAUCCAGUCUACAAGUAGAAGAGUCGCCUGACACCAACUGAUGGCUUUGGGUUUAGGGUCSAAGAGAUGAUGUGCUGUGUGGGGCCACAGUGUGAAAUGAGAGUGGUCAGAAGUACAGUUCACCCAGUAGAUGUGACAUGAGUUUCCAGCCUCAGUUUGGCAGGGGAAUGUACAGGUAAGAUUAACUUUAUCAGAUUAUUGUUUA